RNAcentral lists this ribosomal RNA (378 nucleotides) under uncultured bacterium. RNAcentral's name for it is "bacterial SSU rRNA". It matches the Rfam family "Bacterial small subunit ribosomal RNA", at positions 521 to 896 of the family's 1533-position model. The record is from RNAcentral.
UAAGACGAACCGUGCGAACGUUAUUCGGAAUCACUGGGCUUAAAGCGCGUGUAGGCGGAUGUGCACGUCUGUCGCUGAAAUCCCCCGGCUCAACCGGGGAACGGGCGCGGAUACGGCACGUCUGGAGGGGCGUAGGGGGACCUGGAACUUCCGGUGGAGCGGUGAAAUGCGUUGAGAUCGGAAGGAACGCCCGUGGCGAAAGCGAGGUCCUGGACGCCUACUGACGCUGAGACGCGAAAGCCAGGGGAGCGAACGGGAUUAGAUACCCCGGUAGUCCUGGCCGUAAACGAUGGGCACUGGGUAGGGGGCUCGCCGAUGGGCUCCCUGCCGUAGGGAAACCGUGAAGUGCCCCGCCUGGGGAGUAUGGUCGCAAGGCUG